RNAcentral lists this ribosomal RNA (254 nucleotides) under uncultured bacterium. RNAcentral's name for it is "partial 16S ribosomal RNA". It matches the Rfam family "Bacterial small subunit ribosomal RNA", at positions 524 to 776 of the family's 1533-position model. The record is from RNAcentral.
UACGAAGGGUGCAAGCGUUACUCGGAAUCACUGGGCGUAAAGCGUGCGUAGGCGGUUCGUUAAGUCUGCUGUGAAAGCCCUGGGCUCAACCUGGGAACUGCAGUGGAUACUGGCGGACUAGAGUGUGAUAGAGGAUGGUGGGAUUCCCGGUGUAGCGGUGAAAUGCGUAGAGAUCGGGAGGAACACCAGUGGCGAAGGCAGCCCCCUGGGCUAGCACUGACGCUCAGGCACGAAAGCGUGGGGGAGCAAACAGG